RNAcentral lists this ribosomal RNA (503 nucleotides) under uncultured bacterium. RNAcentral describes it as "bacterial SSU rRNA". It matches the Rfam family "Bacterial small subunit ribosomal RNA", at positions 28 to 521 of the family's 1533-position model. The record is from RNAcentral.
GACGAACGCUGGCGGCGUGGAUUAGGCAUGCAAGUCGAACGGUAUCAUCCUUUCGGGGGUGAGAGAGUGGCGAACUGGUGAGUAACACGUAGGUUAUCUACCCUCAAGACGGGGACAACCCAGGGAAACUUGGGCUAAUACCGGAUGUGAGCAACUUUUAGUUGUUUGAAAGGUGGCGUAAGCUGUCGCUUGGGGAUGAGCCUGCGUCCUAUUAGUUAGUUGGUGAGGUAACGGCUCACCUAGGCAAUGAUAGGUAGGCGGCCUUAACGGGUGGUCGCCCACACUGGGAUUGAGAUACGGCCCAGACGUCCUACGGGAGGCAGCAGUCGAGAAUAGUCUACAAUGGUCGGAAGACUGAUAGUCGCGACGCCGCGUGAACGAUGAAUCCCUUCGGGGUGUAAAGUUCUUUUAUAUGUGAGCAGUGCUUCUUAUAUUAACAGUAUGGGGAGAGAGAUAUUAGCAUAUGAAUAAGCAACGGCUAACUCCGUGCCAGCAGCCGCGGU